GACGAACCGUGCGAACGUUAUUCGGAAUCACUGGGCUUAAAGGGCGCGUAGGCGGGUCAUCAAGUCAGGGGUGAAAUACUCCGGCCUAACCGGAGAACGGCUUCUGAUACUGGUGACCUCGAGGGGUGUAGGGGCAUGUGGAACUUCCGGUGGAGCGGUGAAAUGCGUAGAUAUCGGAAGGAACGCCGGUGGCGAAAGCGACGUGCUGGACACCUUCUGACGCUGAGGCGCGAAAGCCAGGGGAG
RNAcentral lists this ribosomal RNA (245 nucleotides) under uncultured Gemmata sp. RNAcentral describes it as "partial 16S ribosomal RNA". It matches the Rfam family "Bacterial small subunit ribosomal RNA", at positions 524 to 768 of the family's 1533-position model. Lineage: Bacteria; Pseudomonadati; Planctomycetota; Planctomycetia; Gemmatales; Gemmataceae. The record is from RNAcentral.